RNAcentral lists this non-coding RNA (105 nucleotides) under bovine gut metagenome. Its description in RNAcentral is "FMN riboswitch (RFN element)". It matches the Rfam family "FMN riboswitch aptamer (RFN element)". From Rfam's summary of the family: The RFN element is a highly conserved domain that is found frequently in the 5'-untranslated regions of prokaryotic mRNAs that encode for flavin mononucleotide (FMN) biosynthesis and transport proteins. The record is from RNAcentral.
CUUCAAGGCAGGGUUAAUUUCCCUACCGGCGGUAUAGUCCGCAAGCCCAGUUGGGUUGAUUCGGUGAAAUUCCGAAACCGACGGUAAAGUCCGGAUGGAAGAAGU